Molecule: long non-coding RNA, 486 nt
Organism: Brienomyrus brachyistius
Lineage: Eukaryota; Metazoa; Chordata; Actinopteri; Osteoglossiformes; Mormyridae
Exons: 4
Source: RefSeq, a predicted model, not a curated record
CGCACCGGCCGUUUGCGGAUAAGACUGGACACCCCUGAUCUACAAGGAUAAUUCACCAACUUCAGGUGACAGUGAAAUGGACAGAACUGAAGAGUUGCAAGGCAGUUUACCCUCCACAUCAUCAGAAGCUGUGAUGUCUGCCAGCACUGCUCUCAGGAACCGAAGAGUCACAAUCCAUGAAAAGCUGGCUAUUGAAUUUCAUGAACACAAGUUGAAGUAUCUAAAGGAGGAGCAUGAAAUGAAAAUGAAGAUUCUCCAAGUAGAACUAGAAAUGAAGAUGCAAGGUACGAGGCACAUCAGGAUUGUCGUCUUCUAGUAUUGGAGGGUCUGGGCAUCCAUUCUGUUUCAGGGAAUGUGUUGACAGAAGAUGCCAGAAGCACACUCAGCUAAUGGUGCAGAAGUCAGCAAAUGUGAGUUGUUGGGACAAAGGGUGGUCUUGACUGUGCUUCUCCAUUUUCAGCAGAGCAUCUUUUGUCACCUGCUGAG